AUGCCAUGGUGAGGACACUUCACCAACAUCUCUUUAAAUCUUUCCCAUGUUUCUUGCAAGGUCUUAGUUGACUGCUGCUUAUAUUGCAAUAUUUCAUCAAUCUGCCU
Nicotiana tabacum (common tobacco) is the source of this 107-nucleotide non-coding RNA. The record is from Rfam. NCBI's taxonomy places the organism in Eukaryota, Viridiplantae, Streptophyta, Magnoliopsida, Solanales, Solanaceae.